AUGGGACCGAGGGUCCACAAGAAGUCAACGCCGAGGAUGAAGUCGAAGCAGCCCAAGUCGAUGCCGGCGCAUGUGAUGGUGAAGUGCUCGUCGCCGAUGGUGAUGGGCACGUUUUGCGCCAACCCGUGGCAGCAGAGUCGGUCGCCGUUAGCCACGGUGACCCGGAGUUGCUCCCCUCCCGUCGGCUGUAGCGCUAAGCGGCGCCGGUGGCGGCCCCCACCGAGACGGUGCCGCCUGCUGCAAGGCCUGCGUGCGACGCUCGAAGGCGCGGGCGUAGUACAUCGCCGUCUAGAGGUCCCGGGGUCCCCGAAGCUCCAUGUCCACACGGAUAUGAUCCGGUAG
RNAcentral lists this ribosomal RNA (342 nucleotides) under Triticum aestivum (bread wheat). RNAcentral's name for it is "partial small subunit ribosomal RNA". Lineage: Eukaryota; Viridiplantae; Streptophyta; Magnoliopsida; Poales; Poaceae. The record is from RNAcentral.